Molecule: transfer-messenger RNA, 427 nt
Filed under: Candidatus Zambryskibacteria bacterium CG_4_9_14_3_um_filter_42_9
Lineage: Bacteria; Candidatus Zambryskiibacteriota
Also listed under: 2 other names
Rfam family: transfer-messenger RNA
About the family: Bacterial tmRNA, also known as 10Sa RNA or SsrA, is named for its dual tRNA and mRNA-like properties. Its role is to liberate the mRNA from a stalled ribosome.
Source: RNAcentral
GGGGAUGAUCGGCCUAGACAAGAAGAAUAUUUGGUUUGAUGCGCAAGAGAGCUGGAGCGACUCUCUAAUCCACUUCAAAACUUAAAUGCAAAAUCAACUUUUGCAAAAAUUGUUUCGCCGUACUUUACGGCAAAUGAUUUUCAGUUUGCCUACGCUCGAGCUUAAGCUCGCUUAGCCUACUGCGCGGACCGCUGUGAUGUCUCAUAGCAGAGUCUCCGUGUAAUCUUAUGAGACCCUGAAGCAGGAUUUUCUCGACCCGCUUCGAAACUUAGAGAAUAGAGAUAUAAGGGCUUUGGUUUGCUCUCUACCUUAUAUCUUGAUCCGCCAUUCGCCAACUGGCGAAGGCGAAAAAUGAAGCAAACUACCUUGCGUAGACUUCAUGCCAAUCUCUUCUUGCACGGCGGUUCGAUUCCGCCCAUCUCCACUC